CCUACGGGGGGCAGCAGUGAGGAAUAUUGGUCAAUGGCCGGAAGGCUGAACCAGCCAUGCCGCGUGAAGGGCAGGGACCUAGGGGCGUUAAACUUCUUUUGUGCGGGAGCAAAAAUGGGCACGUGUGGCCAGACGAGAGUACCGGACGAAGAAGCAGCGGCUAACUCCGGGCCAGCAGCCGCGGUAAUACGGGGGAUGCAAGCGUUAUCCGGAGUUACUGGGUGUAAAGGGAGCGCAGGCGGCACGGCAAGCCUGAUGUGAAAGCCCGCGGCCCAACCGCGGGACUGCAUUGGGCACUACCGGGCUGGAGUGCCGUAGAGGUAGGCGGACUUCCUGGUGUAGCGGUGAUAUGCGUAGAUAUUAGG
This 365-nucleotide ribosomal RNA is filed under the name uncultured bacterium. RNAcentral describes it as "partial 16S ribosomal RNA". It matches the Rfam family "Bacterial small subunit ribosomal RNA", at positions 338 to 701 of the family's 1533-position model. The record is from RNAcentral.